GACUCUCUUUUCAGACUCAGCCCACUUGCACCCAAGUGAAUUAACAGCCUUGUUGCUCACACAAAGCCUGUUUAGGUGGUCUUCUAUACGGACAUGCUUGACACUUGGUGCCAAAAUCUGGGCCAGGGGGACUCCUUCGUGAGACCGGCCCCCUGUCCUGGCCCUCAUUCCGUGAAGAGAUCCACCUGCGACCUCGGGUCCUCAGACCAGCCCAAGGAACAUCUCACCAAUUUCAAAUCGGAUCUCCUCGGCUUAGUGGCUGAAGACUGAUGCUGCCCGAUCGCCUCAGAAGCCCCUUGGACCAUCACAGAUGCCGAGCUUCGGGUAACUCUUACGGUGGAGGGACAGCAAAAGAAACAGCAAAUGCCUCCACGCCUGCAAAUAUUCUAGCCCUCACCCCAAAAGAUUCCCAGCCAUAUGAAGACACCCUAGCUGGACGAUCAGUCCUUGUCAAAAGUCUGACCCCUCAAACUCUACAGCCUCAAUGGACCAGACCCUACCCGGUCAUUUAUAGCACACCAACUGCCGUCCAUCUGCAGGACCCUCUCCAUUGGGUUCACCAUUCCAGAAUAAAGCCAUGCCCAUCAGACAGCCAGCUUGAUCUCUCCUCUUCCUCCUGGAAGCCACAAGAUUAGGCCGAGAGCCGAUCAGACAAACAACCUACAACCCUUAAGCUCCUGGCAGCGCCCAGCCAAGGCCAUGCUUCCUUGCAACACUCCUUCCAAAUGGCCAUCCCAGCAUGCUUCCAAGCAGGCUUCAUCCGUUCCUCUGGACCCUCAUCUCUUAAGACCUGCCGCCUAUAAAAAGGAUUAUAUCUUGAGACCCUAUCCUCUAAAAUUUUUUCCACACCCAAAA
Long non-coding RNA from Homo sapiens (human), 855 nucleotides. Ensembl annotates it as urothelial cancer associated 1. Its record names the gene UCA1. NCBI's taxonomy places the organism in Eukaryota, Metazoa, Chordata, Mammalia, Primates, Hominidae. The record is from Ensembl.